UUAGACGUUGUUGAUUGAGGGUUGGGCCUGCCCGGUGAGUGUUUAACGGCCGCAGUUAGUAGCUGUGCUAAGGUAGCGUAAUAAGUUGUCCUUUAAUUGGGGAAAGGAAUGAAUGGUUUGACGUAAGAAAUUCUGUCUCUAAAAGAAGUGAUGAAGUUUUCUUUUUAGUGCAAAGACUAGAAUGAGAUUAAAAGACGAGAAGACCCUUUCGAGCUUAAUUAUAUAAUAUAUUUAAAUAUUAAAAAAAUUUGGUUGGGGCAACUAAGGAGCAAGAUUAGACUCCUUGAGGAGAAUGUGGAUCCAAAAGUUUUGAAUGGAGAAAAAGCUACCGUAGGGAUAACAGCGUUAUCUUUUCUGAGAGAACAAAUUGAAGAAAAGGUUUGCGACCUCGAUGUUGAAUUAGAGUUUCCAGUGGGCGUAGAAGCUCAGAUGGUAAGACUGUUCGUCUUUUAAAACUUU
RNAcentral lists this ribosomal RNA (459 nucleotides) under Lasaea sp. RNAcentral's name for it is "partial 16S ribosomal RNA". It matches the Rfam family "Bacterial large subunit ribosomal RNA", at positions 1834 to 2597 of the family's 2925-position model. Lineage: Eukaryota; Metazoa; Mollusca; Bivalvia; Galeommatida; Lasaeidae. The record is from RNAcentral.